GACGAACGCUGGCGGCGUGCCUAAUACAUGCAAGUAGAACGCACAGUUUAUACCGUAGCUUGCUACACCAUAGACUGUGAGUUGCGAACGGGUGAGUAACGCGUAGGUAACCUGCCUGGUAGCGGGGGAUAACUAUUGGAAACGAUAGCUAAUACCGCAUAAUAUUGAUUAUUGCAUGAUAAUUGAUUGAAAGAUGCUAUUGCAUCACUACUAGAUGGCUCUGCGUUGUAUUAGCUAGUAGGUGAGGUAACGGCUCACCUAGGCGACGAUACAUAGCCGACCUGAGAGGGUGAUCGGCCACACUGGGACUGAGACACGGCCCAGACUCCUACAGGAGGCAGCAGUAGGGAAUCUUCGGCAAUGGACGAAAGUCUGACCGAGCAACGCCGCGUGAGUGAAGAAGGUUGUCGGAUCGUAAAGCUCUGUUGUAAGAGAAGAACGGGUGUGAGAGUGGAAAGUUCACACUGUGACGGUAUCUUACCAGAAAGGGACGGCUAACUACGUG
Molecule: ribosomal RNA, 505 nt
Filed under: uncultured bacterium
Lineage: Bacteria
Description: partial 16S ribosomal RNA
Rfam family: Bacterial small subunit ribosomal RNA
Source: RNAcentral